AGAGUUUGAUCAUGGCUCAGGAUGAACGCUAGCGGCAGGCCUAACACAUGCAAGUCGAGGGGCAACAGGAGUAGCAAUACUUGCUGGCGACCGGCGCACGGGUGAGUAACGCGUAUGCAACCUACCCAUAACAAGGGGAUAGCUUUCGGAAACGGAAAUUAAUACCCUAUAGUAUUCCCGGGUCGCAUGGCCUGGGGGUUAAAACUACGGUGGUUAUGGAUGGGCAUGCGUGCCAUUAGCUAGUUGGCGGGGUAACGGCCCACCAAGGCGAUGAUGGCUAGGGGGUCUAAAAGGAUGAUCCCCCACACUGGUACUGAGACACGGACCAGACUCCUACGGGAGGCAGCAGUGAGGAAUAUUGGUCAAUGGGCGAGAGCCUGAACCAGCCAUGCCGCGUGCAGGAAGACGGCCCUACGGGUUGUAAACUGCUUUUGUGUGGGAAGAAAACGUUCUACGUGUAGGACACUGACGGUACCAUAUGAAUAAGCAUCGGCUAACUCCGUGCCAGCAGCCGCGGUAAUACGGAGGAUGCGAGCGUUAUCCGGAUUUAUUAGGUUUAAAGGGUGUGUAGGCGGACGAUUAAGUCAGUGGUGAAAUCUCAGAGCUUAACUCUGAAACUGCCAUAGAUACUGGUUGUCUUGAGUACAGUUGAAGUAGGCGGAAUGUGUAAUGUAGCGGUGAAAUGCUUAGAUAUUACACAGAACACCGAUUGCGAAGGCAGCUUGCUAAGCUGUUACUGACGCUGAUGCACGAAAGCGUGGGGAGCGAACAGGAUUAGAUACCCUGGUAGUCC
RNAcentral lists this ribosomal RNA (793 nucleotides) under uncultured bacterium. Its description in RNAcentral is "bacterial SSU rRNA". It matches the Rfam family "Bacterial small subunit ribosomal RNA", at positions 8 to 796 of the family's 1533-position model. The record is from RNAcentral.